GCAGGACAGCAUUGCUCAGUGUGUGUUUUAGUAAAGCAAGCAGGUUUCUUCUCAGGCGUCCUUACAGAGAAAGUCACUUUGCUACUAAGGUGAACCACUGCAACAACAGCUUGGAGUUUUUGGGAUUUCUUUACAAAGAUAUUUGUUCACAUUUAAAGAAAGGAGUCUUCUGAUUCAGGAGACUGCUUUAAUGCAAUAAUGGCCUACCGCGUUUCUGUUGAUUUGAUCUGAAACUGUCAGAUGACUUCCUUCUGACUCCACAGCACUUCUUGCUCCUAUCCAACUUGCUGGACAAGCGGGUACAAAGGCUGCUGAGAAGGGCAGAAGAAUGAGGUAACACAGGCACGUGCUUUAUCUUCCUAGAGAAAGGGGAUGAGCAUUUAAGAAGGAAGAAUCCUACUUUGUACACUGGCCAAGCACUGUCUGUUCUCUUAGAGCGAGGUAUGUAAGCUCAGUCUACAAAACAUGCGGUUGCAAAGACAGAGGGCAAUUUCAGUCCCCUUCCCUUCCUUGCACUCAUCAAAGUUGGGACCAUGUACGCAUGGCCCAAGUGCUGAAUCAUGACCAGGCAGGCCAAAUUCAUGUCUGGGCUAGUUCUGGUUUCCCUGGGGCAAAACAAAGAGAAAAGUCUUCUCCCUGGGUCACAGCAGGAUCUACUCCACUGAUCAAUUAGACAAGUUUAUUAUCCUAACCAGCCGUGUUUUCUUUUGGCAAACAGAAUACUAGCUACACAGAAAAACAGUUAACUACGACAGUAAUAUGGUUAUCUGACCAAGUAAUAUGGAGAUCUGACCAGGAUAUGUGUCAGUAAACUGAUCAUGGAGGAAUCUGCUGCUAACAACUGAAAAUAUUUAUCCAGGCUGAUAGAUGUGUCAGAUGGACUAUGAACCUCUGAAAUAAGCCAACCUCCAUGAGGGAAGAAAACAAUCAGUCACUUUUCUGCAAGAUUCAGAUCACAGUGUGACUGCACAAACUGGCAUGACUCGACUGCUGGAACAAUUGAAAGUGUGGGAACAUGUGUGGUAUUGUCACUAAACACACUGUCAUGUCAAAUCAUAGCCUCAAGCAAAGGACUGAAGGAUGUGAUUUGGACCUGGAUCUCUCUCAUCAUGACUGAGAUUUACAAGAUGCGUAGAGGAGGCUACAUGCCUUCUUCCAGAAGCUUUGUGAAUCAACUUUCAGGAUGUUUUUUUCCAUGUCUUAAUAAUAAAAAUGAAAUAA
Gallus gallus (chicken) is the source of this 1221-nucleotide long non-coding RNA. The record is from Ensembl. NCBI's taxonomy places the organism in Eukaryota, Metazoa, Chordata, Aves, Galliformes, Phasianidae.